CAGGGUGUAGCGCAGUCUGGUUAGCGCGUCGUCUCGGGAAGGCGAAGGUCGGUUGGGUUCAAAUCCCCCCACUCUGA
RNAcentral lists this transfer RNA (77 nucleotides) under Agrobacterium salinitolerans. RNAcentral's name for it is "tRNA-Pro". It matches the Rfam family "tRNA". From Rfam's summary of the family: Transfer RNA (tRNA) molecules are approximately 80 nucleotides in length. Their secondary structure includes four short double-helical elements and three loops (D, anti-codon, and T loops). Further hydrogen bonds mediate the characteristic L-shaped molecular structure. tRNAs have two regions of fundamental functional importance: the anti-codon, which is responsible for specific mRNA codon recognition, and the 3' end, to which the tRNAs corresponding amino acid is attached (by aminoacyl-tRNA synthetases). tRNAs cope with the degeneracy of the genetic code in two manners: having more than one tRNA (with a specific anti-codon) for a particular amino acid; and 'wobble' base-pairing, i.e. permitting non-standard base-pairing at the 3rd anti-codon position. The record is from RNAcentral. Lineage: Bacteria; Pseudomonadati; Pseudomonadota; Alphaproteobacteria; Hyphomicrobiales; Rhizobiaceae.